CAGUAGCCGCGGUAAUACGUAGGGUGCAAGCGUUAAUCGGAAUUACUGGGCGUAAGGCGUGCGCAGGCGGUUGUGUAAGACAGGUGUGAAAUCCCCGGGCUUAACCUGGGAACUGCGCUUGUGACUGCACAGCUAGAGUAUGGCAGAGGGGGGUGGAAUUCCACGUGUAGCAGUGAAAUGCGUAGAGAUGUGGAGGAACACCGAUGGCGAAGGCAGCCCCCUGGGCCAAUACUGACGCUCAUGCACGAAAGCGUGGGGAGCAAACAGGAUUAGAUACCCCCGUAGUCCCUGUCUCUUAUAC
This 301-nucleotide ribosomal RNA is filed under the name uncultured bacterium. RNAcentral's name for it is "partial 16S ribosomal RNA". It matches the Rfam family "Bacterial small subunit ribosomal RNA", at positions 509 to 807 of the family's 1533-position model. The record is from RNAcentral.